UAUACUGUAGCUGAUGUUACAUAUCUUCCACCUCUUUUACUAUUGCUACCUAGAUUCAGGAAACAUAUAUCUCAACACUUUCUUACAAUUGCAAAUAACUAUGAAUUUAAUAGCUUCAUCACCCCACUUAGUACUUUCUACAUUGCAGGAUUUCAAGUAUUCAAAUAAUAACCUUUCUUGUAAGUAUGUGAUGGAUAUAC
This 200-nucleotide long non-coding RNA is filed under the name Lathyrus oleraceus (garden pea). Its description in RNAcentral is "Pisum sativum (pea) long non-coding RNA (PSAT_LNC005066)". Lineage: Eukaryota; Viridiplantae; Streptophyta; Magnoliopsida; Fabales; Fabaceae. The record is from RNAcentral.